UACGUAGGGUGCAAGCGUUGUCCGGAAUUAUUGGGCGUAAAGAGCUCGUAGGCGGUUUGUCGCGUCUGCUGUGAAAACUCGGGGCUUAACUCCGGGCCUGCAGUGGGUACGGGCAGACUAGAAUGCGGUAGGGGAGACUGGAAUUCCUGGUGUAGCGGUGAAAUGCGCAGAUAUCAGGAGGAACACCGGUGGCGAAGGCGGGUCUCUGGGCCGUAACUGACGCUGAGGAGCGAAAGCCAGGGGAGCAAACGGG
This 253-nucleotide ribosomal RNA is filed under the name uncultured bacterium. Its description in RNAcentral is "partial 16S ribosomal RNA". It matches the Rfam family "Bacterial small subunit ribosomal RNA", at positions 524 to 776 of the family's 1533-position model. The record is from RNAcentral.